GGGCGAUUAGCUCAGGGGGAGAGCGCUUCCUUCACACGGAAGAAGUCGUAGGUUCAAAUCCUACAUCGCCCACCA
Molecule: transfer RNA, 75 nt
Filed under: Actinobacteria bacterium HGW-Actinobacteria-10
Lineage: Bacteria; Bacillati; Actinomycetota
Also listed under: 4 other names
Description: tRNA-Val
Rfam family: tRNA
About the family: Transfer RNA (tRNA) molecules are approximately 80 nucleotides in length. Their secondary structure includes four short double-helical elements and three loops (D, anti-codon, and T loops). Further hydrogen bonds mediate the characteristic L-shaped molecular structure. tRNAs have two regions of fundamental functional importance: the anti-codon, which is responsible for specific mRNA codon recognition, and the 3' end, to which the tRNAs corresponding amino acid is attached (by aminoacyl-tRNA synthetases). tRNAs cope with the degeneracy of the genetic code in two manners: having more than one tRNA (with a specific anti-codon) for a particular amino acid; and 'wobble' base-pairing, i.e. permitting non-standard base-pairing at the 3rd anti-codon position.
Source: RNAcentral